Molecule: ribosomal RNA, 253 nt
Filed under: uncultured bacterium
Lineage: Bacteria
Description: partial 16S ribosomal RNA
Rfam family: Bacterial small subunit ribosomal RNA
Source: RNAcentral
CGUAGGGUGCGAGCGUUGUCCGGAAUUACUGGGCGUAAAGAGUUCGUAGGCGGUUUGUCGCGUCGUUUGUGAAAACCCGGGGCUCAACUUCGGGCUUGCAGGCGAUACGGGCAGACUUGAGUGUUUCAGGGGAGACUGGAAUUCCUGGUGUAGCGGUGAAAUGCGCAGAUAUCAGGAGGAACACCGGUGGCGAAGGCGGGUCUCUGGGAACAACUGACGCUGAGGAACGAAAGCGUGGGUAGCAAACAGGAUU